This 281-nucleotide ribosomal RNA is filed under the name uncultured prokaryote. Its description in RNAcentral is "partial 16S ribosomal RNA". It matches the Rfam family "Bacterial small subunit ribosomal RNA", at positions 505 to 785 of the family's 1533-position model. The record is from RNAcentral.
GUGUCAGCAGCCGCGGUAAUACGGAGGGUGCGAGCGUUAAUCGGAAUUACUGGGCGUAAAGCGUACGCAGGCGGUUUGUUAAGCGAGAUGUGAAAGCCCCGGGCUCAACCUGGGAACUGCAUUCGAAACUGGCAGGCUAGAGUCUUGUAGAGGGGGGUAGAAUUCCAGGUGUAGCGGUGAAAUGCGUAGAGAUCUGGAGGAAUACCGGUGGCGAAGGCGGCCCCCUGGACAAAGACUGACGCUCAGGUGCGAAAGCGUGGGGAGCAAACAGGAUUAGAAAC